CCUACGGGGGGCAGCAGUGAGGAAUAUUGGUCAAUGGACGCAAGUCUGAACCAGCCAUGCCGCGUGCAGGAAGACUGCCCUAUGAGUUGUAAACUGCUUUUGUACGAGGGUAAACGCAGAUACGCGUAUCUGUUUGAAAGUAUCGUACGAAUAAGGAUCGGCUAACUCCGUGCCAGCAGCCGCGGUAAUACGGAGGAUUCAAGCGUUAUCCGGAUUUAUUGGGUUUAAAGGGAGCGUAGGCGGUCUGAUAAGUUAGAGGUGAAAUCUCGAGGCUCAACUUCGGAAUUGCCUCUGAUACUGUUAGUCUUGAGUGUAGUUGCGGUAGGCGGAAUGUAUGGUGUAGCGGUGAAAUGCUUAGAGAUCAUACAGAACACCGAUUGCGAAGGCAGCUUACCAAGCUACUUCUGACGUUGAGGCACGAAAGCGUGGGGAGCAAACAGGAUUAGAUACCCCUGUAGUC
This 460-nucleotide ribosomal RNA is filed under the name uncultured bacterium. Its description in RNAcentral is "partial 16S ribosomal RNA". It matches the Rfam family "Bacterial small subunit ribosomal RNA", at positions 338 to 795 of the family's 1533-position model. The record is from RNAcentral.